RNAcentral lists this ribosomal RNA (494 nucleotides) under uncultured bacterium. RNAcentral describes it as "partial 16S ribosomal RNA". It matches the Rfam family "Bacterial small subunit ribosomal RNA", at positions 28 to 507 of the family's 1533-position model. The record is from RNAcentral.
GACGAACGCUGGCGGCGCGCUUAACACAUGCAAGUCGAACGGAGAGGCCUGCUUUCCCUUGUGGAUUGCGGGUACUCGAGUGGCGAACGGGUGAGUAACACGUGAGUGAUCUGCCCCCAACUUGGGUAUAAGCCUGGGAAACUGGGUCUAAUUCCCGAUAGGACUGCAGGGUGGUGCCUGUGGUGGAAAACGAUUUUCUUGUGGUUGGGGAUGAGCCCGCGGCCUAUCAGCUUGUUGGUGGGGUAAUGGCCUACCAAGGCGGCGACGGGUAGCCGGUCUGGGAGGGUGGACGGUCACAUUGGGACAGAGUUACGGCCCAGACUCCUGCGGGAGGCAGCAGUAGGGAAUAUUGCACUGUGGGCGGAAGCCUGAUGCAGCGACGCCGCGGGGGGGAUGGCGGCCUUCGGGUUGUAAACUCCUUGCGACGGCGAGGAAGCCGCCUGGUUGGGAGUGUGGUGACGGUAGUGGUAGAAGAAGCACCGGCUAACUACGUG